Molecule: ribosomal RNA, 259 nt
Filed under: uncultured prokaryote
Description: partial 16S ribosomal RNA
Rfam family: Bacterial small subunit ribosomal RNA
Source: RNAcentral
GACGUAGGUGGCGAGCGUUAUCCGGAAUUAUUGGGCGUAAAGAGCGCGCAGGUGGUUGAUUAAGUCUGAUGUGAAAGCCCACAGCUUAACCGUGGAGGGUCAUUGGAAACUGGUCGACUUGAGUGCAGAAGAGGGAAGUGGAAUUCCAUGUGUAGCGGUGAAAUGCGUAGAGAUAUGGAGGAACACCAGUGGCGAAGGCGGCUUCCUGGUCUGUAACUGACACUGAGGCGCGAAAGCGUGGGGAGCAAACAGGAUUAGA